Molecule: long non-coding RNA, 602 nt
Filed under: Penaeus japonicus
Lineage: Eukaryota; Metazoa; Arthropoda; Malacostraca; Decapoda; Penaeidae
Description: uncharacterized LOC122242218
Source: RNAcentral
GCAGGGCGCAGAGUGUGUCAGUCAGUCAGUGUGGCUCGCGCCGUGAUAGGAAGAGGUUGGCUGUUCGAACUUCUCAGUGCCGGCCGGUUUCAGCGUGGUUGGUGGUGGCUAUGAAGUGACAUCUUUGGAGAUCUGUCCCUGUUCUAAGAUCUUCUGGAUCUAAGCAAAUAUUGAUACUACUCCCUUCGGCAUUUUGUUGCGUUCUUAGAUUGGAGCCAUAAUUUGUAAAUACCAUAUGAUAGGCCUCGAUUUGAUAUAGUUUAUCGCUUUCCGUCUUUUUCAUCAAAAGACCUGCACAAUGUCCUACUAAGAAGACACAGAUUUCUUCAGUGGCGAGGAUUAUCAAAAGGGCAGUGGAAGGUUGAUGUAUUGACGUCAUGGGUGAAGGAAGAUGGGGGGGAGUGCGGGUCUCCUUCACCUCCCUCCUCCUCCUCCUCCUCGUCCUCCUCCUCCUCCACACUGCUGCUGUCUCCGCUCAACGGCCAGAGGAAGGGCGCUUCUUCCGGUCGCUCUUCUCCCUGCCGGACCAGUGCGUUCAUAAUGGAAUUCCAGCCUCGUGCACGUUCGUCCUCUCCUGCCUGCUUCGCGGAGGUAAGUCCAUG